This 253-nucleotide ribosomal RNA is filed under the name uncultured bacterium. RNAcentral describes it as "partial 16S ribosomal RNA". It matches the Rfam family "Bacterial small subunit ribosomal RNA", at positions 524 to 776 of the family's 1533-position model. The record is from RNAcentral.
UACAGAGGUCUCAAGCGUUGUUCGGAUUCAUUGGGCGUAAAGGGUGCGUAGGCGGCGCGGUAAGUCGGGUGUGAAAUCUCGGAGCUUAACUCCGAAACUGCAUUCGAUACUGCCGUGCUUGAGGACUGGAGAGGAGACUGGAAUUUACGGUGUAGCGGUGAAAUGCGUAGAUAUCGAGAGGAACACCUGCGGCGAAGGCGGGUUGCUGGGCCGACACUGACGCUGAUGCGCGAAAGCCAGGGGAGCGAACGGG